RNAcentral lists this transfer RNA (75 nucleotides) under Chlamydiales bacterium 38-26. RNAcentral's name for it is "tRNA-Asn". It matches the Rfam family "tRNA". From Rfam's summary of the family: Transfer RNA (tRNA) molecules are approximately 80 nucleotides in length. Their secondary structure includes four short double-helical elements and three loops (D, anti-codon, and T loops). Lineage: Bacteria; Pseudomonadati; Chlamydiota; Chlamydiia; Chlamydiales. The record is from RNAcentral.
UCCGGAAUAGCUCAGCGGUAGAGCAGUGGACUGUUAAUCCAUUGGUCGUAGGUUCGAAUCCUACUUCCGGAGUCA